RNAcentral lists this ribosomal RNA (496 nucleotides) under uncultured bacterium. RNAcentral's name for it is "partial 16S ribosomal RNA". It matches the Rfam family "Bacterial small subunit ribosomal RNA", at positions 28 to 506 of the family's 1533-position model. The record is from RNAcentral.
GAUGAACGCUGGCGGCGUGCCUAAUACAUGCAAGUCGAGCGAACGGACGAGAAGCUUGCUUCUCUGAUGUUAGCGGCGGACGGGUGAGUAACACGUGGAUAACCUACCUAUAAGACUGGGAUAACUUCGGGAAACCGUAGCUAAUACCGGAUAAUAUUUUGAACCGCAUGGUUCAAAAGUGAAAGACGGUCUUGCUGUCACUUAUAGAUGGAUCCGCGCUGCAUUAGCUAGUUGGUAAGGUAACGGCUUACCAAGGCAACGAUGCAUAGCCGACCUGAGAGGGUGAUCGGCCACACUGGGACUGAGACACGGUCCAGACUCCUACGGGAGGCAGCAGUAGGGAAUCUUCCGCAGUGGGCGAAAGCCUGACGGAGCAACGCCGCGUGAGUGAUGAAGGUCUUCGGAUCGUAAAACUCUGUUAUUAGGGAAGAACAUAUGUGUAAGUAACUGUGCACAUCUUGACGGUACCUAAUCAGAAAGCCACGGCUAACUACGU